GUGUUGGUCUUAAUGAUCAUUCAUUCAUUUUGUGUUUCUUUAGUUAUUUGCAGUGCGUUGACGCCAUCUACUGAACACUUGUGGUAACGGCAGGUUUGGUGUACAGUUUCUAUUUCCUGUUGUAUUCUCGUUUGUAUUCUCGUUUGGAACGAGAUUAGUGUUCGGUUAGUUCACGACUUUUCCAGAGCGAGUUGUUCUCUGUGAUGUGUAAAUUCUGCUGUCAAGUUUCUUCAAACUCCGCUCAGUUGUGUUUCCCUCGGGGGCAAUGCCGUUUUACAGCUUGUUUUUGCACUGCUGUGUGUAAAAUAAAGGAGAGGAGAAAAA
Molecule: long non-coding RNA, 324 nt
Organism: Cyprinus carpio (common carp)
Lineage: Eukaryota; Metazoa; Chordata; Actinopteri; Cypriniformes; Cyprinidae
Exons: 2
Source: RefSeq, a predicted model, not a curated record